Long non-coding RNA from Dermochelys coriacea (leatherback sea turtle), 269 nucleotides. RefSeq lists it as uncharacterized. Lineage: Eukaryota; Metazoa; Chordata; Testudines; Dermochelyidae. The record is from RefSeq and is a predicted model, not a curated record. The transcript is spliced from 2 exons.
AGUUCCCAUCCAGCUUUGUCUUUCUAUGAUUCAUGAUGAAGCAAUUCCCAUAGGCUCGCAUAGAAAUAAAUUCCUAUAAAAAUGGACUUUAGAAACUGAGAACUUUGGGGUCUGAUUGUGCAAACCAACUUCCAAGAGCAUCAGAUUAGCAUCUGACAAGGCCCUGCUCCCUCCUCGUGUCCAGGCCACCUGGCCAGUGGCUUGGCACGAGCAACUCUAAGGCUGGUAACUAUGAUAACAACCUUGCAGAACCUGUGUGUGUGUGUGUG